Long non-coding RNA from Sapajus apella (tufted capuchin), 161 nucleotides. RefSeq lists it as uncharacterized. Lineage: Eukaryota; Metazoa; Chordata; Mammalia; Primates; Cebidae. The record is from RefSeq and is a predicted model, not a curated record. The transcript is spliced from 3 exons.
UGGAUCAAUAGAGUACAGGAGUUCUGGGCUAUGGUGCACUAUGCCAGUUGGGUGUCCGCACUAACUUUGGCAUCAUUGUGAUGACCUCCUGGGAGCCAAGGACCACCAGGUUGCCUAAGGAGGGGUGAACUGGCCCAGGUUGAAAACAGGGCAGAUCAGAA